RNAcentral lists this long non-coding RNA (569 nucleotides) under Vombatus ursinus (common wombat). RNAcentral's name for it is "lncRNA (ENSVURG00010003175.1)". The record is from RNAcentral. Lineage: Eukaryota; Metazoa; Chordata; Mammalia; Diprotodontia; Vombatidae.
AUGUGAAGAGCAGCUCUAUAGAUGCCCCUUGUACUCUUGGGUGUAUUUUGGUGGGCAUCGUAGUAAAGAUGUAAUUUUACAGCUAGGGAUUCAGGGAAACCUCCCUCCAGAGUGGCUCCUGUCGGUGAAAAGACUGCUUCAAGUCCAAUCUCACCCGCCUCCCUCUGUCGUUGCAGAGAAAUCUAACAAAGCCAAGAAGAAGUCACCCAAGUUUUUCUCGCUGACUCCAUCGACUUCAAGUGUUCCCUGUGCCAGGUUGAAAAAGGCCUUGUGUGCACCAGAAGAAAUGAACAGAUUCUUUUCAUCUCCGUUUUCCAAGGCUAUCGUGCUGGACUGUUUCUGGUGGAUCUUUCAUGAAAGAUACGAUGUAAGGAAGGAAGGCGGAGCAGAUGAAGUCUGGCUCCAGGAGAGAGGAGGGAAGUGAUGAAAACUCAUCGCUGCCCUGAUGUCUCUUUGGUGCCUCUGGGCUCAGGGCUGUAGCCAUGACCGUCCUUAAGACUUCCCAACAGUUUGGCAGACAGACUCGGAGGUUGGGCUUGUCCUCCCAUGACGCCUCGUCUUAGGUGAAG